RNAcentral lists this ribosomal RNA (199 nucleotides) under uncultured prokaryote. RNAcentral describes it as "partial 16S ribosomal RNA". It matches the Rfam family "Bacterial small subunit ribosomal RNA", at positions 524 to 722 of the family's 1533-position model. The record is from RNAcentral.
UACGAAGGGUGCAAGCGUUACUCGGAAUUACUGGGCGUAAAGCGUGCGUAGGCGGUCUGUUAAGUCCGUUGUGAAAGCCCUGGGCUCAACCUGGGAAUUGCAGUGGAUACUGGCGGGCUAGAGUGCGGUAGAGGAUGGUGGAAUUCCCGGUGUAGCGGUGAAAUGCGUAGAGAUGCGGCGGAACACCGAUGGCGAAGGC